CUCUCAGCUCUUGAAAGUGGCUGCAGCCUGGGGCUCUGGCAAUUUGCUGCAGAAGCAGAGGCCUUUCUGUUAAUUAACACAUGGAAAAGGAACCAUCGCCCCUGACUGCCACUCUCGGAGCCGUCUCCUGCCAAAAGCAGCUGCAGGUCGUGUCUCAUUUCUGAUGUGGUACCAUGAACGAUAGCCCCUCUCCACCGCAUACUCCCAUGAUGACCGUCGAUGCAGUAAAUCUCGUGCUCGGGGAGUCCCCGCAACAGAGCCGGCCAGUCUGCAGGCGGUGAGGAGGAGGAGGAGGAGGAGGAGGAGGAGCGCACCGAGAGGACUCGCCU
Long non-coding RNA from Acanthopagrus latus (yellowfin seabream), 329 nucleotides. RefSeq lists it as uncharacterized. The transcript is spliced from 3 exons. NCBI's taxonomy places the organism in Eukaryota, Metazoa, Chordata, Actinopteri, Spariformes, Sparidae. The record is from RefSeq and is a predicted model, not a curated record.